This is a long non-coding RNA of Phycodurus eques (leafy seadragon), 1162 nucleotides long. RefSeq lists it as uncharacterized. The record is from RefSeq and is a predicted model, not a curated record. NCBI's taxonomy places the organism in Eukaryota, Metazoa, Chordata, Actinopteri, Syngnathiformes, Syngnathidae. The transcript is spliced from 3 exons.
GGUUGGGAAACUGCCGCCGCGCCAUGCCAUUUGUCAUGCUGUAUAUUUACAGGCUAUGUCAGACCAGGGUGGGUGGACGCGAGACGUCUCCGCUCUGUGCCUGAGUCCAUGGACGCCAGGCACAGAACCUCCCCUCAUUCAUCUGUUUACUUUCUAAAUAUGCCUCUGUUUGGACUUGCAUCAGUGGGGAGACAAUAUCUAAGAAAACGAGGAAGGAAAUCUGUGGAAAACAAAGGAAAGGGAAAGAAACCCUGUGUGAUAGAGACUGCCCCUCGCUGUUCCUGAUUACGGCAGAUUUUCACAACGCUUGGCGCCAUAAAAAUCAGCCAUCCAGCCAGCCGGGCAGGCAGACUGGGAGAGGAGGAAUGGUCGUGAUCCUAGAAAAUAACAACGCAUGUCAGCUGAGAGAAUGGCAACAGAGAGGACCUGCUCUCUUUCCUCAAAACAUGAAAUAUACCUGGUAGUGUCAUCGACCAACUAAAAGAAGAUAAGUAACUCUAUCUAAUCUCCAGUGAAAAGAACAAGAAUGCCGUAAAAACAACACGACUAGCUGGAGACCGAGGCAAGAGUGAAGAGAAAAUCUGCCCUAAAGAUUUGAAACAGGAAGAGCGUGGCGUCAGUACAGGCGGGAGAUAAGAGCGCUGCGCUCCGUACACAAACACAGGGUUUCUGUGGCUGAGUGACUCCCCACUCUCUCGGCGCCCUCACAGUAGCUGUCUUCUCUCCCUGACCGGCUCCGGACCACAGGCCACCACCCACCCCUGCACAAAGCAGAUCCAGGGGCCUGAUACACCCUGACUGACUCCAGGGGUCUUAAGGGGAUUUGUGCAAGUCCAGGGAAUGGAUGGCCUCAAACAGGAAACCCUGGGAAAAAAUGAGGGUACUUUUAUCGAUGCUGCCUUUUGGCCUUCCCUGUAUAAACGUUACCACAGAUAAAGUCCAACGUAACUGAAGCCACCAAGCAGAAGAGGUCAAUUUAACUUGCGGUAUGGUUUGUAACAGUAGACAAACAUGGAAAGGCAACAAGAUUGAAUGUUGCAUGCUAAUUAUUAUUAUAUUGGCUUUAAAUUGACCAGCCAACAGACUGCAGUCUUUCGUUCCACCAUCCAACUACAAUAUACCAUUUUUGUAGCACGUUUUCCAACAAAAAAGUAAUAAAAAG